This 1515-nucleotide ribosomal RNA is filed under the name Triticum aestivum (bread wheat). Its description in RNAcentral is "partial small subunit ribosomal RNA". Lineage: Eukaryota; Viridiplantae; Streptophyta; Magnoliopsida; Poales; Poaceae. The record is from RNAcentral.
AUGCCGCCGCCGGCGACGGCCCAGGGCACCCUAGGGGCGACGGCCGCGGUGCUGGCCGAGCUCCUGCACCCCGGGCGCGACCCAGACGAGGCGGACGAGAUCUUGGCCCGCCUGCUCUUCUGCACCCACCACACCCUCCCCGACCCGCCCGUCUCCGCCGCCGCCCGCCUCUCCGCCCUCCCCUCCGGCGACGCCGUCGACCGCGUCAGCCGCCUCCCCGACGCGCUUCUCCGCAGCAUCGUCUCACUCCUGCCCGUCAAGGACGCCGCGCGCACGGCCGCGCUCUCCCGCCGCUGGCGCGGGGUCUGGCGCUCCGCCCCGCUCGUCCUCGCCGACGCGGACCUCUCCCCCUCCCCGGCCGCCCCCGCCCUGUCCCGCGUCCUCGAGGCGCACCCGGGGCCCUUCCGCUGCGUCCACCCCACCGGCAGCUGCACGGAGGAGUCCCGCCACCUGCUCGGGCCCUGGCUCCAGCUCCUCGCCGCCAAGGCCGUGCAGGAGCUCGUCCUCGUCAACCGCCGGCGCCCGCUCGACGUCGUCCUCCCCGCCACGUUCCUGCGCACGGCCACCCUCACCCGCCUCCACCUCUGCUUCUGGAAGUUCCCCAGCACGGCCGGGCUCCCGCCGGGCGUCUCUUUCCCCAACCUCCGUGAGCUCGGGCUGUACAGCGUCGUCGUGGAGGGCCGGGAUCUGGACUUCAUGCUCGACAGGAGCCCGGUGCUGGAGACGCUCUGCCUCGAAGGGAACCUGUUCACGCUCCGGCUGCGCCUUGUCAGCCAAAGCCUCCGGUGCGUGCAGAUCAUCGGGUCCUUCUUGGAGGAGAUCUUCGUGGUGAACGCCCCACUCCUUGAGCGCCUCAUCAAUUUGGAAGGCUGGACCCAUGAGGCCGGCUGCACCAAGGUCAAGAUUGGCCAUGCCCCCAAGCUGCAAUUGUUGGCAUACUUGCAGUUGGACACACGGAAUCACGUCCUGGAGAUCGGCAACACAAUCAUCAAGGCUGGUACAAAGGUGAGCCCAAGAACCAUGGUAACAAGUGUGACAGUCCUGGCUUUGGAGGUGCGUUUCGGAGUGCGCAAUGAUGCCAAGAUGAUUCCCAGUGUCCUCGGAUGCUUUCCUAAUGUCGAGACGCUCUACAUCAAGUCUGGACAGCCUGAUCAAUCCACUGGCAAGCUCAACCAAAAGUUCUGGCACGACUCUGGUGCCAUAGAAUGCAUCCGGUCACGCAUCAAGCGGCUGAUUUUCCAUGAUUUCCAAGGGGGUCGAAGUGAGCUCGCCUUCCUCAAAUACUUCGUCGAGAGUGCAUUGAUGCUCAAGCAGGUGGUGAUCCUGUUGUCCACUGGCUCCACUUUGCCGGCGGAGGAGGUGCAUUCCAAAAUGGCGAAUGUGAAACGGGCAGGUGAAAUCUCCAUAGCGCUGGUCACUGGCUAUUCUGAACUUCAAGGACGUUACAAGAGAGGGUCUGAAUUUUCUCUUGGCGAGCUUUUUUCCCUUAUGAAAUUUCCUUGUGCAAACUACUGA